Molecule: transfer RNA, 71 nt
Filed under: Candidatus Kaiserbacteria bacterium RIFCSPHIGHO2_01_FULL_55_37
Lineage: Bacteria; Candidatus Kaiseribacteriota
Also listed under: 1 other name
Description: tRNA-Pro
Rfam family: tRNA
About the family: Transfer RNA (tRNA) molecules are approximately 80 nucleotides in length.
Source: RNAcentral
CGGGCCGUCGUAUAGUGGUAGUACACAAGGCUGGGGGUCUUGUAGCCCGAGUUCAAUUCUCGGCGGCCCGA